RNAcentral lists this ribosomal RNA (482 nucleotides) under uncultured bacterium. RNAcentral describes it as "partial 16S ribosomal RNA". It matches the Rfam family "Bacterial small subunit ribosomal RNA", at positions 28 to 507 of the family's 1533-position model. The record is from RNAcentral.
GAUGAACGCUAGCGGCAGGCCUAAUACAUGCAAGUCGGACGGGAUUCAGGAGCUUGCUUCUGAUGAGAGUGGCGCACGGGUGCGUAACUCGUAUGUAACCUACCUUUAUCAGGGGGAUAGCCUCUCGAAAGAGAGAUUAAGCCCGCAUAAAAUCACAGCACAGCAUUGUGUAAUGAUCAAAUAUUUAUAGGAUAAAGAUGGGCAUGCGGAACAUUAGCUAGAUGGCGGGGUAACGGCCCACCAUGGCGACGAUGUUUAGGGGAUCUGAGAGGAUGGCCCCCCACACUGGUACUGAGACACGGACCAGACUCCUACGGGAGGCAGCAGUAAGGAAUAUUGGUCAAUGGGCGGAAGCCUGAACCAGCCAUGCCGCGUGCAGGAAGACGGCCCUACGGGUUGUAAACUGCUUUUAUACGGGAAUAAACCCAGAUACGUGUAUCUGGCUGAAUGUACUGUAAGAAUAAGGAUCGGCUAACCCCGUG